This 147-nucleotide ribosomal RNA is filed under the name Diaporthe caulivora. RNAcentral's name for it is "5.8S ribosomal RNA". The stretch from base 22 to 147 matches the Rfam family "5.8S ribosomal RNA", at positions 1 to 126 of the family's 154-position model. Rfam says of the family: 5.8S ribosomal RNA (5.8S rRNA) is a component of the large subunit of the eukaryotic ribosome. It is transcribed by RNA polymerase I as part of the 45S precursor that also contains 18S and 28S rRNA. The record is from RNAcentral. Lineage: Eukaryota; Fungi; Ascomycota; Sordariomycetes; Diaporthales; Diaporthaceae.
AAAUAAACAUAAAUGAAUCAAAACUUUCAACAACGGAUCUCUUGGUUCUGGCAUCGAUGAAGAACGCAGCGAAAUGCGAUAAGUAAUGUGAAUUGCAGAAUUCAGUGAAUCAUCGAAUCUUUGAACGCACAUUGCGCCCUCUGGUAU